This is a long non-coding RNA of Pseudopipra pipra, 1852 nucleotides long. RefSeq lists it as uncharacterized. The record is from RefSeq and is a predicted model, not a curated record. The transcript is spliced from 3 exons. NCBI's taxonomy places the organism in Eukaryota, Metazoa, Chordata, Aves, Passeriformes, Pipridae.
GGAAGCUGUGGGAGGAUGCCAAGCACAGUGACCUGAGGUCCUUUUGCAGAGAGGGAGGAAGAAUCCAAGAGCUCCAGCCACAGAGGUGGAGACUGACAUCUCUGAGAUCAGUGGAUUGUAUCCUACAUCCCCAGCUGCCUCAAAAUUCUACCAUUCCCAUCCUCUUGCCAUUCGAGGAAGUGAAGAAAAUAACAUCUUUUAAAAGAAGGAAAAAAGGAAAGGAAAAUAUGCAGCAAAGUCUCCUGUGUGUGUUUUUGACUUAGUAAUAUCUGUAGCCAAUUUUCCCAAGAGACACAAACAAACACAUGCCGAACCAGAAUAUCAAUGAGGUCUUUUUUAGAGCAGGCACAUUAAAAUGCAAAACAGGAGAUAAUGAGAUAAAGCAGCAAGUUACAGGUUUCUUAAUUCCAGAUUUUUAAAGCCUGUGAAGUAGCUUGAGGAAGAGGGAGCUGAGUUAAAUCUAGUGGAGGGCUUGGCUGCAGGGCAGCUCGUGAGGCUGAGAGACUAAGGGUGGAAAAGAGGAGCACGGAGAGGGGGAGAGAUCAGGGACCCCGAGGGAUGUAGAAGCCGACUUUGGUGGACUGUAGAUCUACAGCUGUUCCUAGUCUAGGUCCAGACUUUCCCGGUGGGAAUCACUGUAGCAACACGUCUGACUUAUAGGAUUCAUAUGGAGGGGGAUAGGAGACCCAGAACUGUAAAUUCAAACCGUGUGUACGUUACUUCUAUGUCUUCAAUUCAAAAGCAUUUAGGGCUUUUCAAAACAGCCCCUUUCACUACAGGAAAACUCCCCCACACUCACAAUUUAAAGGAAACAGAUCUUUCAUGUUUACCCUUCCUGUUUCUUGUAGGAGGUCUCGAAAUAAAGCAGAAACUUUGGCAUGUUCUUCUACCUCCUAAGGGAACACACACCUUUCUCUCUGGGGACGCUCAGAGCUUGUCUCACUGGUGGUCACAGGGAGCUGAACAGGACUCUGUCACUCCCCACUUCUUCAUAAACUGACCCAGGACCAGGGGAGGCACCAACCCAAACACAGAGAUAGCAAAAGAGAUCCUCAUCCAAACUCCAUGGAGCUGACAGUCCACAGGCCAGCUCAGAAAAUGGCAGAGAGGACCAUGAACCAAGAGGUUUUCCCCUCUCAGAUCUGCAGCUGAAUCUGUGGCAGAGCCCUACGAUCCCUGACUAUGGACACCACCCUCCCCAGGGAGAAAACAGUUCUGCCAAAGCACAAGUCUGGAGUAAAACUGACUUUUGUAACAGCUUUUAUCCCUUCAUUGAUCACAGGAGCAAACCAGGUGCCUCACAGCUACUGCAGGAGUCUGAAUUAGGCACAGAAACACAGGAUGGUUUGGAUUGGAAGAGAACUAAAAGCUCUUCUCAUUCCACCCCUGCCAUGGGCAGGGACACCUUCCACUAGCCCAGGCUGCUCACAGCCCUAUCCAACCUGCCCUUAGACACUUCCAGGGAUGGGGCAGCCACAGCUCCUCUGGGCAACUUGUUCUAGUCCCUCACCACACUUACAAUAAAGAAUUUCUUCCUAACAACUAGUCUAACCUGCACUCUUCUAGCCCAAAGCCAUUCCCCCUUAUCCUGUCCCUCCAGGUCCUUGUCCAAAAUCCCUCUCCAGCUCUCUUGGAGCCCCUUUUAGGCACUAGAAGGGACUCUAAGGUCUCCCUGGAGCCUUCUCUUCUCCAGGCUGGGCACCUUCAGCUCUCUCAGCCUGUCUCCACAGGAGAGGUGUUCCAGCCCUGGCAGCAUCAUUGAUAAGUCUUCCCAAGCCUGGCUUAAGCACCCACUUCCCUCUCUCCAUCCUUCAGGUGGGUGCUGGGAGGGUAAGUGGUUAAGUUCUGUUUC